This 754-nucleotide long non-coding RNA is filed under the name Homo sapiens (human). Its description in RNAcentral is "non-protein coding lnc-ABCA13-1:3". Lineage: Eukaryota; Metazoa; Chordata; Mammalia; Primates; Hominidae. The record is from RNAcentral.
AGAACUGGGAUAGUCUAAGGCCACAUGGAGAUCUGUCUUGCACUAUGUUGACUUAGUUUAGAGGCCCCGGCUGGAGAGGAGUCAGGCCCUUUUCUUGUGGGGUCAAUUAAGUCCGAUCCUCAAUUACCUCCUUGUUUGUCUCUCAGACCCUUGGCCGCUAUUCAGUCGCCAUAUGUGCCUCGGAGCCAGAAACCACAAAAAAAGGUUUUCGCCUACUGCUGCCCUUUAUCCCUCUGGCUCAACUCUGACGCUGGUGCUCCCACGAGUGGCCCCCUGUGGCAUGGCACGCUGUGUUCUCCCCAGGGAACUCUUUAGGAGACAGGAUGUCUGAGGUCAGAAGUUCCCCCUGGUGACCAAACCAGUUAAGACUGAUGAGAUUCAAGAUCCAGCUCACUUCGCCUUUGAAGAACCUCCAACUUCAUUAUAAUUUAUUUUCCAUACUAAAUGACACUCCCACCAGUGCCAUGACAGUUUAUAAUCACCAUGACAAUGACCAGAAGAAAUUAUGAAAGGACAAAAAGGAAGACCACAACUCCGGUUCUGAGGAAUUCUCCACCCAUUCCCAGAAAAGACAAGAAUACUCCUCCCCUUGUUUUUAAUGCCCAAACCCUUCAUUAAAGAUGUCCCAUAUCUGUGACUUCCUGUCUCUCAUUAAUUGAGAAGUUAAUCUGUGAGUCAAGCUCCCACUUCUUAAGUCCAUGGCCAUUGAAUAAAGCCUGCACUGCUUGAUGCUCACUUUUGGUUUCAUGCAUUG